AAAGUCGUAACAAGGUCUCCGUUGGUGAACCAGCGGAGGGAUCAUUACUGAGUUAUUCAACUCCCAAACCCACUGUGAACCUUACUCUUCGUUGCUUCGGCAGGUCUUAAUCGCCCCGGGCGCCGUCUGCGUGCCCCGGAACCAGGCGCCUGCCGGAGGACACCAAACUCAAGUUUUUACUACGUGGUUGUACUCUGAGUGAAUUGAUGAAAUAAAAUCAAAACUUUCAACAACGGAUCUCUUGGUUCUG
RNAcentral lists this unclassified non-coding RNA (250 nucleotides) under Ascomycota sp. Its description in RNAcentral is "partial contains small subunit ribosomal RNA, internal transcribed spacer 1, and 5.8S ribosomal RNA". The stretch from base 1 to 47 matches the Rfam family "Eukaryotic small subunit ribosomal RNA", at positions 1785 to 1831 of the family's 1831-position model. Lineage: Eukaryota; Fungi; Ascomycota. The record is from RNAcentral.